Molecule: ribosomal RNA, 423 nt
Filed under: uncultured bacterium
Lineage: Bacteria
Description: bacterial SSU rRNA
Rfam family: Bacterial small subunit ribosomal RNA
Source: RNAcentral
UGAGGAAUAUUGGUCAAUGGGCGCAAGCCUGAACCAGCCAUCCCGCGUGCAGGAAGACGGCCCUAUGGGUUGUAAACUGCUUUUCCAGGGGGAGAAUUUUUCUGUCGUGACAGGAAUUGACGGUACCCUAGGAAUAAGCAUCGGCUAACUCCGUGCCAGCAGCCGCGGUAAUACGGAGGAUGCGAGCGUUAUCCGGAUUUAUUGGGUUUAAAGGGUGCGUAGGCGGAUUGAUAAGUCAGUGGUGAAAACCUGCAGCUUAACUGUAGACUUGCCGUUGAUACUGUCAGUCUUGAGUAUGGUCAAGGUAGGCGGAAUGUGUAAUGUAGCGGUGAAAUGCUUAGAUAUUACACAGAACACCGAUUGCGAAGGCAGCUUACUGGGCCAUUACUGACGCUGAUGCACAAAAGCGUGGGGAUCGAACAG